AGAUCUAGUGACGGGACAAGACCAACUGUCCACCACUGCGCCUCUAACGGUUUGCUCUUUCGCGACUUCGUGACAGGAGAGCUCUCCGGAAGUCUUCAGAGUCGGAGAGUGGAGAGGAUGCCAGGACGAACACAUGUCAACUUCCAGGAACUCUUGUACUCACGACUGCACGACCCGGGACUGAUCCCCGCCGCUGAAGAAGAAGCCGGUCAUCGUGCGCACCACAGCCACCAGCGCUGUCACGAUGCCUAUCCGGGCCUGACCUCGGCCUCCCUGCAGGACAGACCAGUUCACAAUAAGAAUGUAUGAGCAAGAAAAGACCCGAUACUCGCCGCCAUCAGAACGAUAGUGUUAUAAACUUCGGCAUUCAUCUCGUCCAGCCCACCUCCCACUAGCACCAGACUUUUCCCGCGGACUCCUCCAACCACUAAAGUGGACACAACGAGCAGGAGGGAGGCUGCUGCAGUACACAGCGACCUCCGACACGCGCUGGCGCUGACCAGGUGAGCCAUUGUCCUGAGUCUUGAAGUCUGCACCGGACCCUGGCGUUACCAACUGAUCGGCUCUGAACGCUCUGAUGACUUAUAUAACCGAUGGUUUUUUUUCUGGGCAAUAAAUGAAAGUAAGCCUAAUACGUGGUCUGGCACAAAAGUAGUAGAGGAUGACUGUCGGUGCGCAUGACGGAGAUGAGGUCAGAGUGACAAGAGUUGUCCAAUCAGUGAGAGUUACCUUAGUUUUUUUUUUCUAAAAUUUCGGGUUAGGUUAUAGUGUUCAGAGUAGCAAUAAGGGUAGGGGAAGGUUAUGUUUAGGUUUUUAGGGGGGAGGUUUACGGUUAGAGAUAGGGUACUGACUGGCGGAGAAGCAGACGAAGUGACUUCCGGUACAAUCAGAAAGCGUUGCGUUACUGAUGUAAACUUACAGUCGAGUUUUCGGUAUUUUUACCUGUGAUGUUAGUCUCAGAUUGACUUUUACAAGUAGCGUAGCAGUUACAAUGAAGAAGAAACGUGUUAUUUAAGUUUCUGUUUACCUACUGCUUUUUUAAAGGUAAGGUCACUAUACAUUAAUAUUGAAAAACGAUCAUGAUCAUGAUUGUAUAUGCGAAAUUCUGACAAGAAUAGGUGACUUAUGAAGUUAUGAGCUUUAAAAUGUUUUGAAUGUGGAUGUUGAUGAGUAGUUGUUGGAUUGUGAUAAGAUACGGUAGAGGUAUUUAAUAUACAGUGACUGACUGUUGCUGUCCGUGCACAGAACGAGAAAAGAACGAGGACGUCACGAGACACACAACGAUGUGUUUACACAGAUUGUCGCUGACACAGGAAAAUCAAGGGACUUCCACAGAACAGUGAUUUUACGAGUACACAAAGCGAUGGGGACUGACGAUGUUGUUUUCGUGGUCCAGAUUAUUUAAUUCUUUAGAUCUUGUGGCGUUUAUCAGUGAGGGCAGGGAGGGGUGUGCCGAGGAAGAAGUCUAAGCUAUCAAAAAGUGAUAAAGUUUCAAGGAAUAGUACUUAGAAUUAUGUAGGUCACUUCUUCUUUUUUUUUUUUUUUUUUUUGAUUGAGUUUCUUGUCUUCUUGAGCGCAGUCUUAUUCACGGGAGGUAACUCUUUAGUACUUGCUUUUAUAUAUUUAUAAGAGUUGUUGCCCUUGUAAGGAUCGUGUCCGCUGGCGGCCAGUGUAGAGUGUGGUGUCCAGAGGGCCCGUUGCAACUCCCUACUGCAGCUAUUAAUUAGCAACGCAUAAUGCUGUUUCUUAUAUUUCUUCUUCAAUAAGAAAAAAUAAAUCAUUUUAUCCCAUAAGUUCAGUUUUAAAGCGAUCACACCCAGCGCCCACAAAGAUCUAGCAAUCUUCCAUCAUUCACUUUUUGUAACAAUCGGUUUCAUUAUUAUCGACACUACGGCUUCUACUUUUGAAAUUAACAAGCCUAUGUUACACAUUAUCUGCCAUUACUUGUCAUUCCACCAGGCUUCAAACUUUUCGAUCUCCUGCCAUUAUCUAAGCUAUUAAAGGUAGACUGCCAGCAGAGUUUACCUCUAGCACCAGGAUGGUCAGGCCAUUGGAGGUUUUUCAGUCUCCCUUGGACCGAUCUAUCAAGUCCAACAUGUUACCCAUGUCUAUAAAGCAGUUUUAUCGUCUUUGAUCUUUUGCAAAGGUAGGUGUGGAAGAACGUGAAAAUAAUCACUAAAUCAUCUAUCAGGUGUCCCGAUUACCUGAGCCUGACCUUGCAGUGCUUGCUGUUAUCGGUAGAUGAGUAGGUCACACUCCCUCAAAGCACAUGCUGUGUACGUGUACAGCACCGUACAGCUGCCACUGCUAUAAAUGAAAGUACCUCGGGCUCUCAUUUUACUCGCAACCAAUCCCUAUGGAGGUCAACUGUCAUUCUCUCAAUUAAGUUUGCAUUAGCAAUUUGUCAAUAUCAUCAUGGAACACAGAAGAAAAAUAUACUGGAUCUGUAAAUACAUUUUUUUAAAAGUUAGGGAAGACAAACACGCAAAGAGAAAUAAAAGUGUGAAUAAGGAUUUUACAACCCCUUACUUGAGCAUGACAAAUUAAUUCACCCCCACCCCAUCUCACAUUUUUACUCCCCUGAGUUCCCCCCACCCCAGCCCUCACGCGCAAGAGGGCAUAACACAUUGUCCUCAGGUGUUUUUCUUUUCCUUUUUUUGAGGAUGAGCUUGCGUGACAUAGCCGUGGGCAGAAGGGAGGAGAACUGUCGAUAUGACACGAGCUUCAGGAAAAAAUAACGGGGAAAUAAUUUGUGACCAUAACUUCGUAAAGCUCGUGUCCGAGCUCACAAACACAAACACACGCACACGCUCACAACACUACAUACUAUUUGGUGCUGUUUUAAUGUUUCCGUCCGAAAUGAGGCUUUCACGAAACUUAUUUUUCUCCUCCGCGAAUGUUUUGCACGGAACAGGACUUACAGGUUUCAUCGAGAUUGUACCGGAGUGGUGAGGGAGGUUGGGGUAAGGAAGGAGGACAUGAACACGUCGUCCAGGUCCCAUGUUAACCGUCAUCACUUCGUGAUAAUGUGAGCAAGAAGGGCCGGGAAGUUGGCAGUUGGGAGUGUGGUGGUGGGGGGAGCGGUCGAUGGGUCCUGGUAGAUGUACUCCACCACCACUUUCCUUGCUGACGCACAUCGGACGGCGACUGUCACCCGCAGUGAACGAGCAAACGCAAACAGGUUCCCUCGCGCAGUUUUUGGUCAACCGUCAGGUACAGGCCAUCUGCUGUGUGAGUGAACAGCUCUCACCAACAGCUGCUGUCUCUGGUCUCCGAAAGACGAGUGAGAGGCUCCACAUCAAGCUGGCGGUCGUUACUUCAAAGACCUGUCACGUGCCUUUUUGCUGUUACCAAGGAAACUGGAGAUUUGGGACUGGGGAGAGGAUAUGUGUGUGGGUUUGAAAGAGGGUUAGGAGAGGUGGGUCAUUGUCCGCAUUGAGGCCUCAGGUGGUGGGUACAUGUGCUGGAGCUCUUGCCUGUUGAUCAUAGUCUGCACCAGGGCGGUCUGGUGGCGCGACGGUUAGCACCUGUCACCGAUACAGUUGAGGGUUGACUGUCCUGGGUUCAGCUUUCGUCUCGGGCACGCUGUUCUUUUUUUAUGUGUCAUCUGUUUACGGGGGCCGGCCGCCUUGCCGUGAUAUAUAUAGCCUUAGUUGCUGGCUCGGAGCAAAACAAAAAUUCCUCCUCCCUCUUUGCCCGUAUUGAUGAAGCUUAGCGGGGGCGUGUACUGCGGAUGAUGGAUCCCUCCGUUUGACGUUUCCCACGUCCUCGAUGUGUUUAUUCUAGAGUUUAUGUCUUUAGGGUUUUACAGUUAUAUGUAUACUAUCUUCAGCAUUCAGUUUUCUAUCAGUCUGUGUCAUGUUUUAACUAAUGCUGAAUUACUUAUGAUUUAAUUUUUACUUUGUUCCAGUUUGUUCGACAUUUUAUGUGUUUUUUAAGUUACAUAUCCGAGCUAUUGUGUUUAAACGUACGAUUAUAUCUUUAUCAGAACUUUAGAGCUGUGUGAAAAUCAUUGCAGUCUCUUGUAAAUGCACAAACACUUGACUUCAGUAGUCGGCGGCUGGGAAAUGUCAGCAUUUUUUCCUUCUCUAGCGAAACGCUAUCAUAUUUCAGACAGCGAACGACUAAGGACUUUAUGGAGACACAAGAGCUUAUGCAACCAACUCCAAACGGUUUAUAUAAUCGUACUAUCGUGCCACAUUUUAUUUUUCUGAACUAAAACACUUUUUUUUACGUUUUGAAAAUACUUGGUUGCCAAGAUUUACACAACAUUCCGAACAAUUGUGUUAAAGUUUACACGGUUUACACAGCGCUGAAAGGAAAGAUUGGAAGGGUAGACAGCAAGGUACGAAGACUGUUGGAGUUCAACAUGCAAGUAGUGAGAAUGACAAACAUCAGUUAAGAUAAAUACCCUUGAAGCAUUCCUCCUUAGAAGACACGCACAGCCACCCACACAACCUGCCCACACACCCACAUCCUUACAAGAACAAUUAUAUAUAAAUAUAAGCAAGGAAGUUGAUCAAUGUCUAUCUACUCUAGGUAAGUACACUGUGCAUCUUCUUAAAAUGUGGCACUAAAAAUAGUUAAUGUACUGUUGAAAUCAAGAGAAAGCAAGUCAUUAAAGAAACAAUUUAUUAGAUUAAUUUCUUCCAAGUCAUUCAUAUCACCUUCAAAAAUCAUGGAUGAAGUAAACUGCAUGAGUGAUGAGCAGAUGUGAAUUACAGGAGUGAAGUAUGCUGACACAAGAAGACACUAGUUACAGUGCUGCGUGACACAACGACACAGACUACAGGGUGAAAUGUUCCAGGUGACACAUCAUAUGCACAGCAGGACUAGCAGUGUGCUAAGUAUAUAUAUAAAAGAUGGAGCUUUCACAUCCUUAUACCAUUAAUAGACUCUGAUCCACUUUCCAGGAGCGUCCUCCUUAUAAAUACUUACAGGGCCUUACUUUACACGCGCUUUUGUUUUAUAUUCCGAAACAAGUUGUUCAUAGAUGGAAAUGCAGACCUACCUAAGAAAUAAUUUUGCGAAAAGCAAAAAUCACUUCAAAGUAGAAGAACGCCGAGGGAAAACGUGAAUGGGAUGAUAAUCAUCUGUACAGAAAAUAAUGUAUUUCACAUCGUUACAUCGGCAGUUAAGGAGCCAGUCAAAACGCUCAGAGCAAUGGUGUGCCGUUGCUGCUGACAACGAUGAUACCGGAGGCUGCGCAAGUAAAAACCAGUAUGAAUCAGAACGCACUACACACUUUUGUAGCGAAACUGGAUAUAAAUAGUCUAACAUCAGAUACUACAUGAGCAGUGUAACAAGAUCGUGGCUGCAGAAGGCUUGAAUACUUAACCGAAAAACAGUCUUUAAGAUUUGUAAGGCACAUACUGAAUGAAGCAUUUCGUUACUAAAGCAAAAGGGGAAAAAAAUCGAGGGUGCUUCAAAAAUAAAAACAUUUUUAGAGGCCGGUAUUGUUAUAGGCAAGAUUAGGCAGGACAGUACGCCCCCCACUGAAAUAAUGACCAGUCUGAUGAUCAUGCACAUCGAUCACAGUUUCCUCAAGUUAAUCUGAAAACAAUGCCACAGUAACCUGAUUAAAAUGAAGCUUGGUACGCCUUUCCUUCUUCUUCUCUCUCUCACUCACAUAUAUCAGCAUAUCAACGCACAAAAUAUGGCAAAACAAUUAAAAAUGUUGGUGCACCCCGACAAUUUUAAGCCACUGGCUUUACAACGUGCACAGUAUAUAAUUAGAUGUCCUCUGAAUUUUACGCUUGUCAACGUGAUUCCCUUGACUAGACUGACAAGGGCCGAGUGAUAUCAAGGAGAAAAACCAACUGUAACACAAAUUGUAAGCCGAGACCUAAAACUCUCUCACACUCACACAUACAAGGUUAUCCAAAACAAGGGGUGGGUGGGAUGGGAAAGUGUGUGUUUGGGGCGGAGGGGCGAAGUAAGAACAAUUUAAUGCAACUUUCAACAGAGUACAAAGUACAGUGGCAACAUUAUUUACAGGUUCCUUCAAAAUAAGUCUGCGCUUGAGUCGACCAUUAUCAUUACCAUCAUUUCAAACGUAACUGUCAAUAUAAUUAUCUUCCAUUAUUGACAGUCUUCGUAAACAUUUUCUCGCAGGGAAGGGUUAAAAAGA
Pomacea canaliculata is the source of this 6130-nucleotide long non-coding RNA. RefSeq lists it as uncharacterized. The record is from RefSeq and is a predicted model, not a curated record. NCBI's taxonomy places the organism in Eukaryota, Metazoa, Mollusca, Gastropoda, Architaenioglossa, Ampullariidae. The transcript has 3 exons.